GAUGAACGCUGGCGGCGUGCUUAACACAUGCAAGUCGAACGGAAAGGCCAGUGCUUGCACUGGUACUCGAGUGGCGAACGGGUGAGUAACACGUGGGUGAUCUGCCCUGUACUUCGGGAUAAGCUUGGGAAACUGGGUCUAAUACCGGAUAGGACAACUUUUUGGAUAUUGUUGUGGAAAGCUUUUGCGGUAUGGGAUGAGCUCGCGGCCUAUCAGCUUGUUGGUGGGGUAAUGGCCUACCAAGGCGUCGACGGGUAGCCGGCCUGAGAGGGUGUACGGCCACAUUGGGACUGAGAUACGACCCAGACUCCUACGGGAGGCAGCAGUGGGGAAUAUUGCACAAUGGGCGCAAGCCUGAUGCAGCGACGCCGCGUGGGGGAUGAAGGCCUUCGGGUUGUAAACUCCUUUCGCUAGGGACGAAGCGUAAGUGACGGUACCUGGAGAAGAAGCACCGGCUAACUACGUG
RNAcentral lists this ribosomal RNA (466 nucleotides) under uncultured bacterium. Its description in RNAcentral is "partial 16S ribosomal RNA". It matches the Rfam family "Bacterial small subunit ribosomal RNA", at positions 28 to 507 of the family's 1533-position model. The record is from RNAcentral.